This 393-nucleotide ribosomal RNA is filed under the name uncultured bacterium. RNAcentral describes it as "partial 16S ribosomal RNA". It matches the Rfam family "Bacterial small subunit ribosomal RNA", at positions 523 to 918 of the family's 1533-position model. The record is from RNAcentral.
AUACGGAGGAUCCGAGCGUUAUCCGGAUUUAUUGGGUUUAAAGGGAGCGUAGGUGGAUUGUUAAGUCAGUUGUGAAAGUUUGCGGCUCAACCGUAAAAUUGCAGUUGAAGCUGGCAGUCUUGAGUACAGUAGAGGUGGGCGGAAUUCGUGGUGUAGCGGUGAAAUGCUUAGAUAUCACGAAGAACUCCGAUUGCGAAGGCAGCUCACUAGACUGUUACUGACACUGAUGCUCGAAAGUGUUGGUAUCAAACAGGAUUAGAUACCCUGGUAGUCCACACAGUAAACGAUGAAUACUCGCUGUUUGCGAUAUACAGUAAGCGGCCAAGCGAAAGCAUUAAGUAUUCCACCUGGGGAGUACGCCGGCAACGGUGAAACUUAAAGGAAUUGACGGGG